RNAcentral lists this ribosomal RNA (84 nucleotides) under Nocardia vermiculata. The record is from RNAcentral. Lineage: Bacteria; Bacillati; Actinomycetota; Actinomycetes; Mycobacteriales; Nocardiaceae.
CCCAUUCCGAACCCGGAAGCUAAGGUCACCUGCGCCGAUGGUACUGCACUCGACAGGGUGUGGGAGAGUAGGUCACCGCCGGAA